Long non-coding RNA from Panicum virgatum (switchgrass), 1685 nucleotides. RefSeq lists it as uncharacterized. The transcript is spliced from 3 exons. NCBI's taxonomy places the organism in Eukaryota, Viridiplantae, Streptophyta, Magnoliopsida, Poales, Poaceae. The record is from RefSeq and is a predicted model, not a curated record.
CCCUCCAUCCUCGGCGCCUCCUCCCCCAUCCUCCACUCCUCGCAUCGAUCGACUUCCCCCUUCCUUUCCCUGCAGCGCAAAUCGACUUCGAUUCCUCAUGGAUUGCCUCGAUCAGAUUUGCAGAAAUUCAAUCGGCCAUGACGAAUUGUUCCUCGAUGCGACUUUAGGUCCCAGCUGCUCACCACCUCAGAACUAGAGGCCCGGUGUCCACAGGCGUUUUCAGGUCUUUAGCAGCUGCGUGGCACUGGCACCCCGUCGAGGACAAGCUCCAGCUCUGCAAGCUCAUUCCGGAAUAUUCAAAAUGAGAUUGAAACAAGAAGAUGGAGGCUUCUGACCACUGUUGGCACAACAAUGUCGCUAUCACCUAUAGUUGCUUGCAGAAUUGUUGUGCUGGCCAUAAAAAUCUCUCCAAAUAAAAACUUAGUUGAAGUAGACAUGAGUUCAUGACGACCACCGGCUCCUUUACAUGGGUAAGGCAACACAAUUCCAAAUAAUUUGAUUGAGCUUUCUUUUCAAGUUAAUAGUUUCACAGGCUUGAUGAUCUCUAUGGAUUUAAUCCCAUGGUACAUUUGUUGUUUCAUAAACAUAGUACAAAGCUUUCUUCUGCUAUGUUAGUUCUGACAACAUCGAAUGGGUAAGCAAUUACUGAAUGCUACUGUUACAAUUAGUACACAAAGCUAGCAAGUCGAAUUGCUGGGCACUACACUGAAUUUCGCUAUUUGAAAUACUUCUUUUACAAAAGUAUACAUGUUUAGGGAAAAAUAAAGAAACAUAGGAUGCAUGCUCUGUUUAUGUUGAUGUUUGCAGAGUUAUUUUGUUUUCUUAAUUUUUCCCUAAACAUUUCAUUGUUUUACACCAUAGCUUUUCAUUAUAACAUAUAUGUGAGUCCUGAAUACGUGGUUAGAAAACAAUGAUAUCCUUAUGCUUACAAUGUUGUUUUCUUAACUUAUAAUGUGCAUAUCUGGUCAUUUUCUUUGUGCUUAUCCCAAUGCUUACAAUUUAUAAAUGUUCCUCUGAAACUGCCUUUUCCUAAAGUAUAUUGAUGCAUAAUUAAGAGACAAAACUAGCCUGGUUGAGUGUUUAUUUUGACUUUUGAAGAUCCUUUGGCCCCGAUGAAAUACAAGAAUGGGAGGAGCUUUAGAUGCCACUGGGGCAUGUCCAUUUGAAUGAAGGUCCUGAUGUGGUGGUUUGGGCUUCGGAAAAAUUGGGGAAAUACACUCGCCGUCGCCGUUAGCUAGAGCAAGAAGAUGACCCUGCAGCCUUAGAUCUUCAAAUCAAUGGAUUAUAUUAAAUGAUGAGGACACCCUUUCACUUAGGCUUGGUGUACCAUCGACCAUGGAAUGAUUUCCUCAGUCCACAAACCUGGGGACCGAGGUCACAAUACAGUUCCUCUAUUGCCCCAAUCUUGAAUGCAGUUUCACUGGAUGGCAAGGAGCGCAGAGCAACAACGUCUGGGCAACAGUGGGCCGCGUAGCCAAUUACUUUUGGAUAUGAUGUACAUCAAUCAAGCUUGUGUAAAUCUAUUUACUUCCUGCUUGUUGCAGUUUUCAUGGUGACUGCAGUAUUUUGAGCACAGAAAUUAUUGUCUGUAGAACAAAAACAUGUUCGAUUACUUCUAUUUGGAAUACUGGUCAGAUGUUUUGGCCUUGGCAGGUGUGUAUGGAUUGAUUUUUGUUAGUUGCACU